This 253-nucleotide ribosomal RNA is filed under the name uncultured bacterium. Its description in RNAcentral is "partial 16S ribosomal RNA". It matches the Rfam family "Bacterial small subunit ribosomal RNA", at positions 524 to 776 of the family's 1533-position model. The record is from RNAcentral.
UACAGAGGGGGCAAGCGUUGUUCGGAAUUACUGGGCGUAAAGGGCGCGUAGGCGGCCUGUUAAGUCGAACGUGAAAUCCCCGGGCUCAACCCGGGAACUGCGUCCGAUACUGGUUGGCUUGAGUUUGGGAGAGGGAUGCGGAAUUCCAGGUGUAGCGGUGAAAUGCGUAGAUAUCUGGAGGAACACCGGUGGCGAAGGCGGCAUCCUGGACCAAUACUGACGCUGAGGAGCGAAAGCCAGGGGAGCAAACGGG